CAGUAGCCGCGGGAAAACGUAGGGGGCUAGCGUUGUCCGGAAUCACUGGGCGUAAAGGGUUCGCAGGCGGAAAUGCAAGUCAGAUGUAAAAGGCAGUAGCUUAACUACUGUAAGCAUUUGAAACUGCAUAUCUUGAGAAGAGUAGAGGUAAGUGGAAUUUUUAGUGUAGCGGUGAAAUGCGUAGAUAUUAAAAAGAAUACCGGUGGCGAAGGCGACUUACUGGGCUCAUUCUGACGCUGAGGAACGAAAGCGUGGGUAGCAAACAGGAUUAGAUACCCCAGUAGUCCCUGUCUCUUAUACA
This 301-nucleotide ribosomal RNA is filed under the name uncultured bacterium. RNAcentral's name for it is "partial 16S ribosomal RNA". It matches the Rfam family "Bacterial small subunit ribosomal RNA", at positions 509 to 808 of the family's 1533-position model. The record is from RNAcentral.